Molecule: ribosomal RNA, 253 nt
Filed under: uncultured bacterium
Lineage: Bacteria
Description: partial 16S ribosomal RNA
Rfam family: Bacterial small subunit ribosomal RNA
Source: RNAcentral
UACGGAGGGUGCAAGCGUUAUCCGGAUUCACUGGGUUUAAAGGGUGCGUAGGCGGGUUGGUAAGUCCGUGGUGAAAUCCCCAAGCUUAACUUGGGAACUGCCGUGGAUACUCUCAAUCUUGAAUAUCGUGGAGGUAAGCGGAAUAUGUCAUGUAGCGGUGAAAUGCUUAGAUAUGACAUAGAACACCAAUUGCGUAGGCAGCUUACUACACGAUCAUUGACGCUGAGGCACGAAAGCGUGGGGAGCAAACAGG